Non-coding RNA from Lepisosteus oculatus (spotted gar), 1085 nucleotides. Lineage: Eukaryota; Metazoa; Chordata; Actinopteri; Semionotiformes; Lepisosteidae. The record is from RefSeq and is a predicted model, not a curated record.
CUGAUUUCGAAGGUUGUCGUUCUUUCAGCCUCAAGUGCAGGAGAUUCCAGAAUAUUAAAAAAGUGCCUCGAUUUUUAAAUCGCGGCUUUCAAACGAGGGUAUCGCGGGGGCGCCCAUCACACGUUGUGCAAAGGAGAAGAAAUCGAAAUCUCUUUCUGUGCUGUGGAGGAGAUUCUCAAAUGCUUGCAUCCUGUUUCUUUCGCGUUAUGAGGCGAGUGCGUGUAUGGUUCUGGUUUCCAUUUCCCUGAUUCUUGUUGAAGAACCGGGGAUUUAAGAUGAUAGAAUCAGUUACCUCUGACAGAGGCAGCUUUGUUACUUACCGAUCUUGAAGACAUUCCUAUGUACAAUAGUAGCGCUGUGAUAACUUUUACUAAAAACAGCAAGUGCCAGUCUAUUAGCUGUUCUUGUCUUUGGCACUUCUUAAAUUCCACAUUUUUACAGCAUAUCUAAAUGACUUAUUUAUGUUCUUUUUUUUGCUGGCAAACACAGACGUGGAUUGUUGCAUAUUUAUUCCGUUCCGUCUCGGACUUCAGUUAUGGCAAUGAGCUAAUAUCUCAAGCAAUACCUGGAAGGUGACGUUCCAAAUUCGCAUCUCUUUGGUUUGUGUUAUGAAUAGGAAAUGCGAUCCCUUCCAAAUCGUACACUAACGUAGAGACACAGCGACAGAGAAGGAAGAAAAGAGGUACUCUUCAAGGCGUGUCUGGACACUGACUGAACCUCCCCCGUCCGUCAAGACAUUUCUAAUGUUUCAGGACAGAGAUUCAGCCUUGGUCUUACCAACGACCUGCGUUUAAGUUUGAACUAUGCACGCGUGCUUCUCAAGAUCUCACAACGAAGGAAGUCACAUUUGGACCUCUGCUUAUUGGUAAAGAUUAAAGAGUACAAUGGACCACCCAGUUCUGGACAUCAAACAAACCAACAGGCCAUUAAAGCUGCCCUUCGGUCAUCAAGCUAAAGGAAAAACUGAGCCCAGUUGUCACGACUCGUACCUCCUCCCGCUCCUCAGCUCCAGGUACGCUGUGGUGGAUCUGUCCGUGGAGGCCAGGGCUCGCCCUUGAAUGGACUGGGCGUAGCUGAUGUCCGCA